UGGACUCUUCAUCUGUCUCUGAGAGAGAUGAAGCCUCACAGGUCAAGGCCAUUCAAGAACUCCAGAAGACUCUACAGGAACUGAAGGGUUUGCUAUCAGAGGAAUGUUAUCAGUCUGCUGAACGUUUGAUUGACAGAAUCAACAAGAACC
Scomber japonicus (chub mackerel) is the source of this 150-nucleotide long non-coding RNA. RefSeq lists it as uncharacterized. NCBI's taxonomy places the organism in Eukaryota, Metazoa, Chordata, Actinopteri, Scombriformes, Scombridae. The record is from RefSeq and is a predicted model, not a curated record. The transcript is spliced from 3 exons.